AAAAAACGGCACAGCUCCCCUUUUAAGUGGCUGCCAUGAUAAGAGCCGUUCGAAUUGUCUAAGUGAUAUGGAAAGGUGCUUCAUUGCUUCCUUUGUUACCUCCUUUAGCAUAGGAUACACUGGACCAUCCUUUACGAAAAGGAAAGGAG
This is a long non-coding RNA of Sander lucioperca (pikeperch), 149 nucleotides long. RefSeq lists it as uncharacterized. NCBI's taxonomy places the organism in Eukaryota, Metazoa, Chordata, Actinopteri, Perciformes, Percidae. The transcript has 4 exons. The record is from RefSeq and is a predicted model, not a curated record.